Molecule: long non-coding RNA, 301 nt
Filed under: Ananas comosus (pineapple)
Lineage: Eukaryota; Viridiplantae; Streptophyta; Magnoliopsida; Poales; Bromeliaceae
Description: long non-coding RNA (ACOM_LNC023719)
Source: RNAcentral
UGUAGACACAUAUAUGUAGAGUCUAUCUACUGUACUAUCGAUGGAACCAAGUGCUUAACACUAUCAAUUUUUUCGCCGUUAGAUCUAUCUUUUUAAUCAUUUUCACAUGUUAAAUCAUACUAUUUAACCAAUCACCUACUCAAUCCUAGGGUUCUAACUGUACAUCCCUUCAUCCAAGGGUUGAUCGUCAAUUUGGAGGCUCCAUCAUCGAAAACAAAUGGGUGGCAAUGGAGCCAGUUUGCUACCAAUAGUAUUCUAGUUCAACUCUCUCUCUCUCUCUCUAUAUAUAUAUAUUCCUUUC